CUCUCCCGCCGCGCGAUACGCGCACGCGCACUCGCCCCCGCCCCGCCGCCGGGGCUGUUGACGCGAAGCCCUUCGGCUUUGCGGGCUCGAGUCCGCGCUCCGGUCUGCUCCGACGAGGUCUGGAUCCCGCUCCCCCGCAAUGGCACGCGCCGGACUUGCGGGUCACGUCCCGCCACCCUCCAGUCCCCACCCCCACGGUGUAUUCGCCAGCCGCCACAGGAGGCUGAGCGUGUGUUCCUACGUUUACCCGGGACCUCCUUGUCCCCGCCCUCUCCGCGGUUCUCUCGUGCCUCUCACACCACCCAGGGCCCCGUGCCCUCCCUGCAACGGUCCUCUUCCGCUCUCACUCCCACCGUCACGCUUCAGGAGCGCCGCCUGGCGCUGCUCUCCCCCGACCUGGGCGUCUCCGCCCACACGAGCCCCUCCUGCCGCGUCCUCGCCCGAACCUGUGCCUGCGCCCCCUAAUUGCCGCCUCGGCCCCUCCCCCCCUCAACGCGAGCGCACUUGCGUAGGGGCGUCGCUACGCUUCCCGACAGUCUGGGAGCCCCGGGCGCCUCUCUGAGUGUUGGGCGAGGGGGCGGGCCUGUCUGCGGCGAGGUCCCGCUCGCCCUCUUGGGCGCCGCUUCGGUCCACCUGCCCCACAAGCUUUUGUUUCCGGUGCGGUUGUGGGCUCCCCUCGCGCUUUCUCGCCUUGUUCUUUAGUGUGUUUCUCCUCUGAACAGGGUUCCUCCAGCACCUUCCGUCGUGGUGGUAAACAUCUUUAGGUGUGGUUGACGCCAAGCCCCCAGGUUCAGUCAGGCAGGGUUGUAAACGUUGGCUGACACACUCAAGACGUCCCUUCCCAGGAUCCUCAAUUGAGCCUGGUCACAUGUCAAUUCUCCAGAGACACCUUCCUGGCCCUUCUUCCCAGACUAGUGGAUGGGUAAACAGAAGCUGGUGAUACUGGAUGCUGGUGGAUGUGGUGGUGAUUCGAGUCUAGAGGCAACAAGAAUUCAUCGCUUCCACUUCAAUGCCUGCUGAGCUAGGUGAGCCAUGCAGACAAGGGAGGUAGGCAAGUUGAGGGGACUGUUCAUCACCCGUGACUAUGACUAGACAGAUUUGGCAAGGAAACAGGCCUCUUCAACUCAGCCAGUCAACAGUGGAACAGGGAGGAGACGACACUGCCUGGCCUGCUGCACUGGACCAAAGAUGCUUCAGCCUCAAAAUGGAAACCUGUUUAAGCCCAAGCAAGCAUCCUUAUGAAAGAAAAUGAACCUAAGAAGUUAAAAUUAUAUUAGUAAUUUUUCUUAAAAAGUACUCAUCCUGCCUGAUUCCAAAAAAAAAUUCGUAAGCUUAAUAAACGCCAAGCUUAAGUAUUCCUACAGUCCUGGUAGACACGUAUGUAUAUGUAUAAACACAUAUCUACCUACAUAUACUUACAUAUAUAAUAUUAUUUAUAGUAAUUGAUGUGUUUCAUAUAGUUUGUGUUCUGCCUUUUCUACUCAGCAUUCUUUUUUUACCCAGCAAAUGUCCUGUUCUGACAAAGUAUUUUGAGAGAAACAAACAUGCCUGGUCAUGUAUGGAGAACUACGAUGAUUUACACUGAUGUUAACUCCAUGGAGGAGCUGGCAUUUCAGUGGAACCUUGAAGCAUGGGUAGCAUUUCAAAAGGCUGGAAAGGGGUGGGAGAGAAAGGGUAUUUUAAGUUGAGGGAGUAACAAGAAAAAACAGGAAAAUAAAUAGGGAAUAAGUAGCCCAGACUGGCUAGAGUAUAAAACACAAAGUUCUUGGGGUGGGGUGGGGUGGGGUGGUGUGGGGUGGGGAGGAUGAAUCAUGAGGAAGCAAAGCUGGAGAGUAGGUUAAGUUAGAUCGAGGGCUUUAACUGAGGAGUGUGGAUUUUAUCAUGUGGACAAUGAAGAGUUAUUAAAGAUUUUUGGUCUCAGUUUUAAAGACAGGUUUGUGUUUUGAGAAAAAAAAUAACAGAGGGAAGGACUGGUUAGACAGGCAAGAGACUGAAGGCAAGAAGGCAACCAGUUAAGAGGCCAUGUAAUGGUCCACGUGACAGGUUAGCAAGGUUUGCGGUAAAGCAGUGCCUGUAAGAAUGAAAGGGGAGGGAUGAAUUCAAGGGACGUGGUAGAGACAGAACUAGCAGGAAUUGAGGACUCAGGGCAAGUGUGUGGUGGCUAAAGUGGGGGUGGGGUAGUAGCCAGAAGGUGUCUUUAAGGUUUCCAGCCUUAGGAACUAAGAGAAUGGUAAUAAUACAGUGUGAUAAGAACAGAGUAGAUUUCGGGGAGUCAAAAUGGACUUUUUAAUAUGGUAAGUCACUGGGGCAUUUGUGUAUUCUUAAAUUUUUUUUAAGUGGGAAGCUAGUAAUGAUUUAUCAUUAUCUGCCACACAAAUGUGAAUGUUCGUUUUAUUAAAAUCUAGAUGGACACAUUUCCUGAUGUUCAGUCAUAAAAAAAGCCUUACAAAUGUUCUAACCUUUUAACCCGGCAACUUCACCUCUAGAAAUUAUUCUCAAAGAAAUAACUGGGGAUGCACACAAAGAUGGAUAUGUAAGUUCUUUGUAAAACAGCUCCCUAAUAUUUAACUUUCUACAUAUUUGCCAGCAGAAGACAAUUUAAACUAAUUUUGUAAUUUUUGUAAAGGAAAAAUCAUGCCAUAUGAUAUCAUUUUUAUAAAGCUCAACAUGCAGCAAAGUUCAGUGAUACACUGUGUGCAGAUGUACACUUACGUGAAAACACUUAAAAAAGGAAGAGGAAGAAGAAGAGGAAGGGGAAGCAGCAGCUAAUGACAAUACACAAGACACAAGCUUGAGGACAGUGGUUACCCAUGGGAGGGAAAGGGCAGCAGCAGAGGAACACAGGUGCAUCAAGGGCGUUGUAACGGUCUAGUGCUCAAACUGAGUAGUGGGUUCAUGAGUGUUUGAUAUAUUAUUGGGCUUCGUAAUUAUAUAUGUAUUGUAUACUGAAAUGUUAAGUUCAUGUUUUCAAAAAAAUUUACUCAGCAAAAACGCAUGCUAGCUACAUAUAGUAAAGUGGAAAAACAUUCGCCACAGAAUACACUGUUAGGUGUCCAAUUUAGUAAAAAUUAAUAUUUGUGCAUAUUUGUAUGUGUGUGUGUUAGGCCAGGAAUAUGAAUAUUGAUGUUUAUGAUUUUUUCUUUAUCCUUCCAAAGUUUUCCAAAUUUCCUACAAGACAAUUUUUAAUCAUCAGGGAAAAAUAAAGUCAAAAACCUCCUGGAUAUCCAAGAAGGUCUUGAAAGGGGUUUAAGAUAGCAGAAAAUAUAAGUGUAACAUUUUAAAAUCACAAAUAUAAAAAGACAAAUAUGUAGCUUUAAAAAAACUACAACUGUGAUGGUUAGAAAGUUUACAAAGGCUUGUGGUAAGAAUGAAGACCUGAUGGGUUUUAAAUGGUAUGUAAGGACUUGAUCCUCAAAAUAAAACAGUAAAAGAAACCGUUCAAAAUGAUAGCAAUUCUUACACUGGUAGUGCAUCCAUUAGGUCACAGUGCACUGGUGUAUGCCUUUCCUUAUUUGAGACUCACACAGGUUUGGAGUGCUGAGUAGAUUUCUCAUCCCUUCUUUUUCACUUCUCUGCUUCCCUGUAAGAGCGUUCUGUGAUUUGCUGGCUGGUUGUAUACCACCCUGCUCCACUGAUGCUGACCUUAGCCGUGUGAUUCUCAUUGGCCAAUGCGACAGUGGUGGACAUGGCCUAUGCCAGGACUGUGCAGAUGCUGUAAGAGGCAUCCAUCAGCUCUCUUACCCUUUAUUUCAGCCAUGAUAAUAGACAUACCCCACAGAGGGGUUAUGCUUUCCAGCCUGGGUCUGGGAAUAAGAAACACGGCACACAGCAGGAGUAGACCCACAGCUGAGCCACACGUGAGCAGACGUGCAUCUUGAGUGAGCGUAAAUGUAUUAUUAUUACCGUAAACCACUGUCAUUUGGGCGUAUUUCCGAUACAGAAAAACUGACUAUAUAUACAUUUGUAUAGGAGGAAAACCAAGAAUCAGGUAAGUUAAAUAACCUUUCCAAAGUUUCAUGUCUGGAAAAUGGAAAGCACUCCCAAACCAGUGAAUUUCCACAUACCAUGUGAUGAGGGAAACAAAGGCAAGAAAAAUGUAGUUUAAAUUAAAUCUCCUACAGCUUGCAUCCCAGACAGAUACCAGAGACAUGCGGCGUGUAACAUUCCUCAAGGAGUUUAUGGCUGCCUUAAUGCCUUAGUGUUUACAUUUCAUUAAAAACUAAAAGCAACCUUAUCUUACCAUAGCUGCAUCUCCAGGGUCCUGUAAAGCCCUGCUUUCAGCAUAUAGAGAUUCCUUAGAAAACCAUGUUGUUAUCUCUAUCCCCCUCCCUCCACAAACUUAAAAGUAUGUAUUCAGUCACUCCUCACAAUCCCGGUGCAGUUUUCUGCCCAUGGGUCCAGUUCCCGUGCUAUAAAAUCACCUUUUUGCAACAAAAACGUCUCAAGAAUUCUUAGCCAUGUGCUCACGAACCCCACUUCAAAUUUCAUCACUAUAUACUGCUUUUCUUUGUGAUAAAAUGAACUACAGAAGAGUACCUAAGGCAAACCAGUAGUUAUUUUUGUUAUAUAUCAAGUGGGACCACCUGGGCUGCUGGAGUUUACUGGUCACCUGUUCCGAAGCGCUCUAAGUGUGUUAUUAAGCUCGUUUCUCCUUUCUAUUGAAGUUGAGCUUUUCACUAAUCCAGCACAUUUACCCUCUCUGAGGAAAUGAGAAAACUAAUAAUGCUGCAACAUAUAAUUUCUUUAGGCUUUCUAUUUUUUAAAAUCCCUUCACAUAAAAUCUCGUAUACUUCUGUCACUUGUGAGGCAGACACAAAGGUACUGUGGUAACCAUAACCUCCUCCCCACUACAAAUUCUUUACUGCCAAAUUAUGCAUCUCCCUUUUUCAAAGCCUGGAGAAUUACGAUGACAUCCUUGCAGAUGGCGAGUCACAGGAUACCAUAAAAUCAAAAUGUAGGAGAUUUGGUUGCAGCCACGAAGGUGACUGGCAAGACUAUAUAGAUCUCUGGGUUUUACUUCAACAGCACCUGAAUGAUUUCCUUUGCAUAUUCCCAGACUCUUUGUUUCUUUGUCUGGGUCUCCAACUCAAUGCGUAAAGCUCUUCUCUGAAAUGGCUGCUGAGAUAGAGACUGAACCACCAGCUAGGGAUGGCAAAUGCAACUUUUAUCUGUGUGUACAUUUCACUAAUUUACAACUUGUGAAAUGUCAAAGUUUCCUCCCCAAGUUUGAACUUCUUUAUGUGUGGAGAGGCAGAGUGCCAAAGGACUCUUGACACAAAAAAGCUGAGGAAGGCACCUUUGAUGUCUUUUCCUGGGCUCAGAAGUCUGUGCUCCAGCACAGCUGAGGCUCAAGGUCCCGGCUCUAGUGGCACCAUGGCUGCGGCCCUGGAGAGCAGGAGCGGUGUGUCAGGAUUCUCAUGUAUUCUGAAUCGCUCUCCAUCACAAAAACGUUACUUCUGCAAUCUACCCUACCUUUUCCUUCUAUUCUCACUGGUUCUUCCCCAAUUCUGUUAUGAAUAAUUACUAAUGGAAUGUUCUGUUUUUCACUUUUGUUCUAGUAAAUAUAAAAAUAGUUACGAGGGUUUCUAUGGGCUUUUGCAUAUACGCACAGAUACUUUGGGCUCCCUCCAUUUAAGAUGCCUCACCGCAUUUUUCUCAUUAGGCCUCUGUUUCAACUCUGAAUUCAUUUUCUCUGUGGAUUUUCGAGAUCACUCUGGGGAAGAAAUCUUGUACCUCCAUUUCACAGAUUGGGUAACAAAUUGAUGUUGUAUGAUUUUUACCAUGUCAAUUACAAAAUGAAUAGGAAACCAAAUGUCCUUUCUCUCACUUACAGAUUUUCCAUUACACUGAGCUACUUCUUUCAUUUCCUUGCUUUGUCACCCAAUUUCAAUAAGGAGCACAAGCAACUGACAACUUUCAAUUCAAGUCUGCACAUAAAAAUUAAUGUUUCUUAGCUUGGUUGUUUUGCUACAGCAUGGAUGCUACAGGAGAUUUCCUGCUUCUAAUCUGCUGUGGAUGAACAAUCUGUUUAACCAACCUUGUUAGAAUAAUCUCUGAAACAAACUAUAUGUAAGUUCCAAAGAAAGAUUUAUCAGACUCUCCUAUAAAUAAAAUACAUAGUUUUAUGUGAUUUCUAUUUUGGCUACUUAGAAACCUUUUUCUAUUUCCUUCCUUGGGGAUAGAGUAGUAGUUCCCCAAUAGUCAUAUCCAGUCUGAGGUCUUUUUACGUCUAAUAAUAGCCUCAAGGUUAACAUUCAAAUAAUGUCUAGUAUGUGUCAGGCACUACAUCAUCACAUGUAACUCUCUUAAAAACUCUAGUAAGAUGAGGAAAUUGAGACGGAGCUACUUUAAAGUAGCUCACAGGCAAAUCUUGCAAAGACACUACAUCAGUCCUUAUCAUUUCCCUGAGGAAAUGCAGUAAAGUAGAACUAAAAAUUUUAAGGGGGUAAUGGUUAAAGGAGACUUUAGUUUUAUCUGUAAUAUUUGAAUAUUCCCAAGAAUGUAUUUAUAUAUCAACUGUAUAAUGAAAAAAUGAGUUUAAAAUGGUUUUAGGGUAAACAUAUGCAACUGAAAACUUUCUCACAAAGAAAUACCCAGAUCCAGACAGCUUCAUCAGUGACUUUUCUCAGACAUUUAAGGAAUAGCAACAACUUUAUACAAAUACCAGAGAACAGGAAAAAAAAAAAAAAAAAAAAGGAAAGCAACUGCCAACUUGUUUUAUGAGGCCUGCAUAGCAUGACACUAAAACCUGACAAAGACACCUAAAAGAGACGAAAAAUUACAGAUCAGUAUUUUUUGUAAACGUAGAUAUAAAAAUUCUCAACAAAAUGCCAGCAAAUCAAAUCCAGUAAUAUAUAAAAAGGAUAAUACAUCAUGAUUAAUUUGCAUUUAAUCCAAAAUGCAAGGUUAGUUUAAUACUCAAAACUCAAUCAGUAUAAUCCACCAUAACAAAAGAGGAAAAAAAGAAAUAAAUCCUAUGAUCAUCUUCAUAAAUGAAGAAAAAAAUCAUUUGAAAAAAAUCAUUUGAAAAAAUUGACCAUCCAUGCAUAAUAAUAACUCUCAGCAAACUAGGAACAAAAGGGAAGCUCCCCAACCCAGUAAAGGAUAGUUAUAAAAGUCAAAGUUAACAUCAUACUUAAUGGUCAAAUGUAAAUUUUGAAAGCUCUCUCUCUGCUAAUAGCACUUAUAUCUAAUAUUAUAUCAGACAAGAUAAAAGAAAUAAAAGGGAUAAGGCCUAUAAAGAAAGAAAUAAGAGGGGCGCCUGGGUGGCUCAGUCGGUUAAGCGUCCAACUUAGGCUCAGGUCAUGAACUUGCGGUUUGUGAGUUCAAGCCCCGCGUCGGGCUCUGUGCUGACAGCUCAGAACCUGGAGCCUGUUUCAGAUUCUGUGGCUCCCUCUCUCUCUCUGACCCUUCCCCGUUCAUGCUCUGUCUCUCU
Molecule: long non-coding RNA, 7435 nt
Organism: Panthera uncia (snow leopard)
Lineage: Eukaryota; Metazoa; Chordata; Mammalia; Carnivora; Felidae
Exons: 4
Source: RefSeq, a predicted model, not a curated record